GUGAAUAUAGUUUAAAAAAACCUCUAGAUUGUGAUUCUAGCAAUAAAGAUUAAAAUUCUUUUAUUCACC
RNAcentral lists this transfer RNA (69 nucleotides) under Glandirana rugosa (Japanese wrinkled frog). RNAcentral describes it as "tRNA-His". It matches the Rfam family "tRNA". Rfam says of the family: Transfer RNA (tRNA) molecules are approximately 80 nucleotides in length. Their secondary structure includes four short double-helical elements and three loops (D, anti-codon, and T loops). Further hydrogen bonds mediate the characteristic L-shaped molecular structure. tRNAs have two regions of fundamental functional importance: the anti-codon, which is responsible for specific mRNA codon recognition, and the 3' end, to which the tRNAs corresponding amino acid is attached (by aminoacyl-tRNA synthetases). tRNAs cope with the degeneracy of the genetic code in two manners: having more than one tRNA (with a specific anti-codon) for a particular amino acid; and 'wobble' base-pairing, i.e. permitting non-standard base-pairing at the 3rd anti-codon position. The record is from RNAcentral. Lineage: Eukaryota; Metazoa; Chordata; Amphibia; Anura; Ranidae.